CGGACGACACCGCCGAGUCACCUUGACGGUGAACCGGGGACCCACCUCCCCGGGGUGAAUCCGUCGGCCACGUGCCGAUGGUAGGGCGCCGCUUCUGACAAGCGCUUCUUCCCGCCCGAACCCGUCAGCUAACCCGGUAGGCGGUAGCAGGAAGAAGGA
This 159-nucleotide small RNA is filed under the name Stackebrandtia nassauensis. RNAcentral's name for it is "c-di-AMP sequence". It matches the Rfam family "c-di-AMP riboswitch aptamer (ydaO/yuaA leader)". Rfam says of the family: This family represents a conserved RNA structure found upstream of the ydaO and yuaA genes in Bacillus subtilis and related genes in other bacteria. The ydaO/yuaA element is thought to act as a genetic "off" switch for the ydaO and yuaA genes in its native state. Lineage: Bacteria; Bacillati; Actinomycetota; Actinomycetes; Glycomycetales; Glycomycetaceae. The record is from RNAcentral.